Molecule: non-coding RNA, 341 nt
Organism: Arachis ipaensis
Lineage: Eukaryota; Viridiplantae; Streptophyta; Magnoliopsida; Fabales; Fabaceae
Source: RefSeq, a predicted model, not a curated record
CAUCACAAUUAGUGUAUUAACUUGAAUGAAUGAAUGAUCGGAUGGUUAAAUUCUUUUCUGGUUUACCUGGAGUUCUUCACUCAUAGUCCUUCAACUUUGAGGUGUGAUUGCAAUCCGAGCUCUCUAGCCAAAAAUUAUGUAUAAUACAGAGUUCAAGAAAGGGAAAGAACAUACAUCACCGAAUAGGAUCUCGUCGGCCUCAAGCAUGUGGAUUAUGUGUCCGAUUUUAGGUCUCUUUAUGGCAUCUGGAUCAACACAUUUAAGAGCAACCAACAGAGCAAAGCUUAAGAGCCUUUGAAGACGGCUUUUCAGGAAGGUUCGGAUCAAUGAGUUCCUCUAAU